UAUGUCAACUAGUUGUUAGUUUUAGUAACUAAGCUAACGCGUUAAGUUGACCGCCUGGGUAUUACGAUCGCAAGAUUAAAACUCAAAGGAAUUGACGGGGACCCGCACAAGCGGUGGAUGAUGUGGAUUAAUUCGAUAUUAAGCGAAAAACCUUACCUACUCUUGACAUGUAUGAAAUUCUUCUUAAUGGAGGAAGUGCUCAUAACACAGGUGCUGCAUGGCUGUCGACAGCUCGUGUCGUGAGAUGUUGGAUUAAGUUCCAGAACGAGCGCAACCCUUGCUUUUAUUUUUAUAAAAGGACAGCGUUUAAACGAGGAAGGAAAGGAUGACGUCAAGUCCUCAUGGCCCUUAUGAGUAGGGCUUCUCACGUCAUACAAUGGUUAGCACAACGAGAAGCAAUUACGUGAGUAGGAGCGAAUCUUUAAAACUAAUCUUAGUUCGGAUUGAACUCUGAAAUUCGAGUUCAUGAAGCAGGAAUCGCUAGUAAUCGCAGAUCAGCAUGCUGCGGUGAAUACGUUCUCGGGUCUUGUACACACCGCCCGUCACACCAUGGGAAUAGGUUACAUUGGAAAUUAAAGU
This 579-nucleotide ribosomal RNA is filed under the name Candidatus Vidania fulgoroideorum. RNAcentral's name for it is "bacterial SSU rRNA". It matches the Rfam family "Bacterial small subunit ribosomal RNA", at positions 808 to 1433 of the family's 1533-position model. Lineage: Bacteria; Pseudomonadati; Pseudomonadota; Betaproteobacteria. The record is from RNAcentral.